CCUACGGGAGGCAGCAGUGGGGAAUAUUGGGCAAUGGGCGCAAGCCUGACCCAGCAACGCCGCGUGAAGGAAGAAGGCUUUCGGGUUGUAAACUUCUUUUCUUAGGGACGAAGCAAGUGACGGUACCUGAGGAAUAAGCCACGGCUAACUACGUGCCAGCAGCCGCGGUAAUACGUCGGUGGCAAGCGUUAUCCGGAUUUACUGGGUGUAAAGGGCGAGUAGGGGGGGAAGCAAGUCAGAUGUGAAAUCCACGGGCUCAACCUGUGAACUGCAUGUGAAACUGUGUUUCUUGAGUACUGGAGAGGCAGGCGGAAUUCCUAGUGUAGCGGUGAAAUGCGUAGAUAUUAGGAGGAACACCGAUGGCGAAGGCGGUCUGCUAGACAGCAACUGACGCUGAGGCGCGAAAGCGUGGGGAGCAAACAGGAUUAGAUACCCUAGUAGUC
This 443-nucleotide ribosomal RNA is filed under the name uncultured bacterium. Its description in RNAcentral is "partial 16S ribosomal RNA". It matches the Rfam family "Bacterial small subunit ribosomal RNA", at positions 338 to 795 of the family's 1533-position model. The record is from RNAcentral.